AUCGGAAUCAACGCAGGACAGUGGCACCCAGUGCCACUACUCCAGAGAGCUCUCGGAGAGUGGACCCAUGGACUGCUACUGAAAUCCAAUUAUCCCACCAAGCAGGGAGGCAAGAGUGCGGAGAUGGAGAAGAGGGUAUAGUGAAGGAAUCCUUAACUCCAUGAUCUGAGGAGGUACGAUGAUGUCACUUCAACACACACAAGCCCAAACCAUUUCACAGAUAAAGCGAAAUUGGCUUUUGCAGACAAGACCAUCC
Lampris incognitus (smalleye Pacific opah) is the source of this 256-nucleotide long non-coding RNA. RefSeq lists it as uncharacterized. The transcript has 4 exons. The record is from RefSeq and is a predicted model, not a curated record. NCBI's taxonomy places the organism in Eukaryota, Metazoa, Chordata, Actinopteri, Lampriformes, Lampridae.